This 253-nucleotide ribosomal RNA is filed under the name uncultured prokaryote. RNAcentral's name for it is "partial 16S ribosomal RNA". It matches the Rfam family "Bacterial small subunit ribosomal RNA", at positions 524 to 776 of the family's 1533-position model. The record is from RNAcentral.
UACGUAGGGUGCGAGCGUUGUCCGGAAUUAUUGGGCGUAAAGGGCUCGUAGGCGGUUUGUCGCGUCGGGAGUGAAAACUCAGGGCUUAACCCUGAGCCUGCAGUCGAUACGGGCAGACUAGAGUGCUGUAGGGGAGACUGGAAUUCCUGGUGUAGCGGUGAAAUGCGCAGAUAUCAGGAGGAACACCGGUGGCGAAGGCGGUUCUCUGGGCAUUACCUGACGCUGAGGAGCGAAAGUGUGGGGAGCGAACAGG